GAUGGACGGUCCAGGUUGCACCCUAAACUCCCCGUCCCAAUACCACGGCAAUGUAAUCUUCUCCAGCACUGCAACAGUGAUUACUCUACUCGGUGGUCUUCUAUCGGAACCUGUUAUGGAUAGGGUAAUGAAUAUGUAGCGUUUAAUGUCCAAAUCUCAUCAUUGUCAGUUGAAGCUGGACCGUGGCUGCCUCUUUAUGAAGCAGAACGGUGUGGUCCUGUGUAAAUGGUGCAGACCGCAAACCUCUCGCACCAAACUCUUUGAACAACUUCAUUGCCAAAUUUAAUAGUUGAUGCACCAAUAAGAAAGUGGAGAGACAGAGAGUAUAAUACAACGUAAAUCUCAUGGUUUUGAACACAAUUUAAAGAAAACAUGAGAUUAGAUAAUUUUGAGUUUAAUCUUAACGUGUUUCGUAUUUAAUCAUUUUUAACAUGUUUAAGACACGAACAUGUUAAACAUGAAUAAUACGUUUAAAAUACGUUUAGUUAAUUGUAUUAUCGUGUUUAAACAUGUAUACGUGAUACGUUUAUCAACUUGUUAAAAAUUAAUAAUCAAAAAUUAUUUUAAUCUUACUUAAAUAAUUUUAGUUUGGAUGUUUCGAAUUGUUUAUGGUUGAUGAUAUAAUUAAUGAUAUGUACGUAUUUAAUCAUGAAUGAAAAUUAUAGAUGAUUUUAGGUAUUAUUAAUAUUUUCAGAUUAGAUGUUAAUGAUAGAUUUUAUCAUAUUAUAUGAUAAUGAAUUUUAUGUAUGUUAUUUAUGUUAAAUUUUAUUAUAUUUGAUAUUAAGAUUAGUUUGUUUUGAUAUAACCUGUUACGGAUAGUGUAAUGAAUAUGUAGCGUUUAAUGUCCAAAUCUCAUCAUUGUCAGUUGAAGCUGGACCGUGGCUGCCUCUUUAUGAAGCAGAACGGUGUGGUCCUGUGUAAAUGGUGCAGACCGCAAACCUCUCACACCAAACUCUUUGAACAACUUCAUUGCCAAAUUUAAUAGUUGAUGCACCAAUAAGAAAGUGGAGAGGCAGAGAGUAUAAUACAAGGUAAAUCUCGUAGUUUUGAACACGAUUUAAAGAUGACAUGAGAUUAGAUAAUUUUGAGUUUAAUCUUAACGUGUUUCAUAUUUAAUUAUUUUUAAUAUGUUUAAGACACGAACGUGUUAAACAUGAAUAAUACGUUUAAAAUACGUUUAGUUAAUUGUAUUAUCGUGUUUAAACAUGUAUACGUGAUACGUUUAUCAACUUGUUAAAAAUUAAUAAUCAAAAACUAUUUUAACCUUACUUAAAUAAUUUUAGUUUGGAUGUUUCGAAUUGUUCAUAGUUGAUGAUAUAAUUAAUGAUAUGUACAUAUUUAAUCAUGAAUGAAAAUUAUAGAAGAUUUUAGAUAUUAUUAGUAUUUUCAGAUUAGAUGUUAAUGAUAGAUUUUAUCAUAUUAUAUGAUAAUGAAUUUUAUGUAUGUUAUUUAUGUUAAAUUUUAUUAUAUUUGAUGUUAAGAUUAGUUUGUUUUGAUAUAACCUGUUACGGAUAGGGUAAUGAAUAUGUAGCGUUUAAUGUCCAAAUCUCAUCAUUGUCAGUUGAAGCUGGACCGUGGCUGCCUCUUUAUGAAGCAGAACGGUGUGGUCCUG
This 1612-nucleotide long non-coding RNA is filed under the name Theobroma cacao (cacao). RNAcentral's name for it is "long non-coding RNA (TCAC_LNC002680)". The record is from RNAcentral. Lineage: Eukaryota; Viridiplantae; Streptophyta; Magnoliopsida; Malvales; Malvaceae.